Drosophila rhopaloa is the source of this 643-nucleotide long non-coding RNA. RefSeq lists it as uncharacterized. The record is from RefSeq and is a predicted model, not a curated record. The transcript has 2 exons. Lineage: Eukaryota; Metazoa; Arthropoda; Insecta; Diptera; Drosophilidae.
CGAAUUCAGUCAUUCAUCACUGUGUUCCUUGAAAAAAAGACGUGCUUAAAUUUUUAAAGUUUUUCACUUUUGAAAAGUAAAUAAUUUUUUUUGACCGCUAUUGUGAGUGGACGGUAUAUAUCUAGAAAUGGAGCCAUUUGUUAAUCAGGAACUUCAGGACAUAUUGAAUGACCUUGACCAUCAAUAUGAACAGAUCAAAGUCGAAUUAGCCGGUAUUAUGAAGGAACGUGAUGCUCUUUGCCACCAAAUUGAAACCAUCGAAAAGCUGUGCAAACGCUAUAAGAAAAACAAGCAAGGAUCGAAUCUGAUGUAUCAUAUUAAUGAGUUGUUCAUUGAUAGCGACGAACGAUAAGUUUUAUUUUACUUAAAAUGUUUUAUGAGUUCUUUUUUAAAAAAAUUGUGAAACCAUGUUAAAGAAAGCCUGUGAAAUUGUCAAGAUUGUCAAGCUAAAUCAACAAAAUUAUGAAGAGAAAACCAGUAAUAUGAAUAUAUCAAGCUAAAUGGCAUUAAAUGAUGUUCAUUUUGAUGCAGCUGUUGGUGGAGUUGAUGUACUGAACUGAGCUUCUGAUUAUAUACAUUUAUAUAUACUUGAUGAUUUACUUGAUAAAAUAUAUAUGUACACUAGUGCUCUUUGGGUAUUUAA